RNAcentral lists this ribosomal RNA (301 nucleotides) under uncultured bacterium. RNAcentral describes it as "partial 16S ribosomal RNA". It matches the Rfam family "Bacterial small subunit ribosomal RNA", at positions 509 to 807 of the family's 1533-position model. The record is from RNAcentral.
CAGUCGCCGCGGGAAUACGAAGGGUGCAAGCGUUAAUCGGAAUUACUGGGCGUAAAGCGUGCGUAGGCGGUUUGUUAAGUCUGUUGUGAAAUCCCCGGGCUCAACCUGGGAAUGGCAAUGGAUACUGGCAAGCUAGAGUGUGUCAGAGGAGGGUGGAAUUCCGCGUGUAGCAGUGAAAUGCGCAGAUAUGCGGAGGAACACCGAUGGCGAAGGCAGCCCCCUGGGCCAACACUGACGCUCAUGCACGAAAGCGUGGGGAGCAAACAGGAUUAGAUACCCCUGUAGUCCCUGUCUCUUAUAC